Molecule: ribosomal RNA, 1224 nt
Filed under: Fictibacillus barbaricus
Lineage: Bacteria; Bacillati; Bacillota; Bacilli; Caryophanales; Fictibacillaceae
Description: bacterial SSU rRNA
Rfam family: Bacterial small subunit ribosomal RNA
Source: RNAcentral
AGUCGUAACUCCGGGAAACCGGGGCUAAUACCGGAUAAUAAGAGAAGAAGCAUUUCUUCUUCUUGAAAGUCGGUUUCGGCUGACACUUACAGAUGAGCCCGCGGCGCAUUAGCUAGUUGGUGAGGUAACGGCUCACCAAGGCGACGAUGCGUAGCCGACCUGAGAGGGUGAUCGGCCACACUGGGACUGAGACACGGCCCAGACUCCUACGGGAGGCAGCAGUAGGGAAUCUUCGGCAAUGGGCGAAAGCCUGACCGAGCAACGCCGCGUGAGCGAUGAAGGCCUUCGGGUCGUAUAGCUCUGUUGUUAGAGAAGAACAAGUACGAGAGUAACUGCUCGUACCUUGACGGUACCUAACCAGAAAGCCACGGCUAACUACGUGCCAGCAGCCGCGGUAAUACGUAGGUGGCAAGCGUUAUCCGGAAUUAUUGGGCGUAAAGCGCGCGCAGGCGGUCUCUUAAGUCUGAUGUGAAAGCCCACGGCUCAACCGUGGAGGGUGAUUGGAAACUGGGAGGGGUGAGUGCAGGAGAGAUUAGUGGAAUUCCACGUGUAGCGGUGAAAUGCGUAGAGAUGUGGAGGAACACCAGUGGCGAAGGCGGCUCCUUGGCCUGUAACUGACGCUGAGGCGCGAAAGCGUGGGGAGCAAACAGGAUUAGAUACCCUGGUAGUCCACGCCGUAAACGAUGAGUGCUAGGUGUUGGGGGGUUCCACCCUCAGUGCUGAAGUUAACACAUUAAGCACUCCGCCUGGGGAGUACGACCGCAAGGUUGAAACUCAAAGGAAUUGACGGGGGCCCGCACAAGCAGUGGAGCAUGUGGUUUAAUUCGAAGCAACGCGAAGAACCUUACCAGGUUCUGACAUCCUUUGACCACUCUAGAGAUAGAGCUUUCCAAUUCGGGGGACAAAGUGACAGGUGGUGCAUGGUUGUCGUCAGCUCGUGUCGUGAGAUGUUGGGUUAAGUCCCGCAACCCCCGCAACCCUUGACCUUAGUUGCCAGCAUUCAGUUGGGCACUCUAAGGUGACUGCCGGUGACAAACCGGAGGAAGGUGAAUAUGACGUCAAAUCAUCAUGGGGCUUAUGACCUGGGCUACACACGUGCUACAAUGGAUGAUACAAAGGGUUGCGAAGCCGCGAGGCCAAGCCAAUCCCAAAAAGUCAUUCUCAGUUCGGAUUGUAGGCUGCAACUCGCCUACAUGAAGCCGGAAUUGCUAGUAAUCGCGGGGG